This is a transfer RNA of Glarea lozoyensis 74030, 72 nucleotides long. It matches the Rfam family "tRNA". From Rfam's summary of the family: Transfer RNA (tRNA) molecules are approximately 80 nucleotides in length. Lineage: Eukaryota; Fungi; Ascomycota; Leotiomycetes; Helotiales; Helotiaceae. The record is from Rfam.
AGCAAUGUGGCGCAGCGGAAGCGCGCCGGGCUCAUAACCCGGAGGUCCCUGGAUCGAAACCAGGCAUUGCUA